RNAcentral lists this ribosomal RNA (918 nucleotides) under Triticum aestivum (bread wheat). RNAcentral describes it as "partial small subunit ribosomal RNA". Lineage: Eukaryota; Viridiplantae; Streptophyta; Magnoliopsida; Poales; Poaceae. The record is from RNAcentral.
AUGAACACACUCCACGCAUACAUGCUAGCUAGCAAGCUAGCUAGCACACACACACACAUCCAUUCAUCCAUCCACCCACGGCCAAGCACACACUUGUGCUCAUAUGCAUAUACGAGGCCAGAUGCCUAUGGCACUGACCUUAGAUACAGCUCCAGGAGCACUCUGUACCAGAUAUACAUACCAGAGAUAUUCAGACAUGCAGGAGUAGGGAUAUUAUCUCUCCGGAGAGCCCCGAACCUGGGUAAACUAGCGCGUGCUACUCGCAUACCCGCUCCCGGUCCUAUCAGCAGCAGUCUUACCCUCACACUAAGCCCUUCUGGCAUCUGUCGCCUCACACCCCCCGGUGAGAAUACCACGACAGUUGGCGCCCACGGUGGUGUGGUACUACUACUAUGCUACCACGCUGCUGCUGGUCUCGCAGUCCGGGCGGGACCAUUUUCGUCUUCACCGCUGCGGCGUCGCGUCGUCUCUCCGGUAGCGCUCGGGGGCUCGACUUCGACCCGACCCCGGAGCGGCCGUGCGGGACGGCGCGUCCUCGCCGUCGGCCUCACCAUUUUCGCCAUCAUCACCGCGGCGUCGCCGUCGUCUCUCCGGUAUCGCUCGGCGGCCCAACAUCGACACGCCCCCGGAGCGGCCGCGAGGGGCGAAGCAUCCUCGCCGUUGGCCUCUUCGUCACCACCGUUGCGACGCCGGCCAUCCGUCCGUGCACGCGCCGCACGCGGGGCCUCGCUUCGGUCGGCCGUGUCCAUCCACGCGCUGCUCGCGUCUGCUUCCCUCCGCGUUACGCCUUGCUCCGGCCGAAACACGCGCAUUCGCUCAUCCACAUGCCAUCUUUGCAAGCGAGCUAGAUGCAAGUCAACAAUGGUCAAACUUUGGCCAUACACCAUCCAUACACCACCCAAAAAAUCUUUCGGAUGA